RNAcentral lists this long non-coding RNA (1219 nucleotides) under Calidris pugnax (ruff). Its description in RNAcentral is "lncRNA (ENSCPUG00000005601.1)". Lineage: Eukaryota; Metazoa; Chordata; Aves; Charadriiformes; Scolopacidae. The record is from RNAcentral.
UCUCCGACGCCUACGUGCGCGGCAGCGAGGAGGCGCCGGCCGCCGAGCCCGACGGACCCCUGACGCUCUACCUCAUCGUCUGCCUGGCCUGCGUGUCGGCGCUCUUCCUGGCCACCGCGGUGGCCGCCGCCGUGCUGAGGCUGCGUCGCGCCAGGCGGAGCGAGGCCGACACCUUGCCCACCUUCCCGAAGGCUGCCGCGGAGAGCAACGCGGGCUCCCUGCCCCGCAGCCUCGUCUACGACGUCUGCUUCGCCGCCGGGACCGUCAACAGCGAGUUCCGGUUCCUCCGGCCCCUCUUGCCCUGCUUCCCCGCCGGGCUCCCCCCCGGCCCGGGCGAACAGCGGAGCUCCGUGUGCUCGCAAGAGGCGGCCAACCUCGGCGAAGAAGGCGACUUCGGGGCUGCACAGGGCAGAGCUCCCCUCUCUGAAGACCCGGGCCCCAGGGCUGCAGAAGCAGCUUGCGCUGCAAACAGGGGGAUGGAGCUGAAUGUCAAUUCUGAUCCAAACCCUUGGCUCACCCAUCAAUGAGGAGAAUGAGAAGCAUGUCUGUCCUCCUUCGCUAACGUGCUCACCGCGAAGAGAGAAUGAAGAGACCAAACACCCACCAGAAAAGUACCGAGGAGGUGUCAGCCUUCUCUGUGAAAGAGUAAAACCACUUUCCUCUUGAGCAGUACUUUAUUCCUGUAGGUAUUUUGUAAUUGUGAUAGGGAUGGAGGAGGAGGACUGUGUUGCAUGUUAAUUACACCGAAAUUUGAUGUAUGAUUGUGAGAUUCCCACUGAUAUUCCCCAUCUAUUCCCCAUAGAUGUUUAUGUAAAUCCUGAAAACUGGAAGCAGCUCUUCAAGAUAACUUUCUUCUACAUAAUUUUUACUGUAUUGUUUUUUAGUUAUGCUGGGUUUUUUUUUUAUUUCUUUGUCUGUUUUUGUCUCAUGCAGAGUACUCGGUAAUAGUGUCUUAAUUUCCCGCAGUCUAUCCAAUACCAGGCCAAACAGAUAUUAAGCAAAAUCAAGUGGUGCUUGCAAACUCCUUAAUAACAAGCAGAACCGAUUACCUUAGAAAUAUCUGACAUUGGCAGACUUUGCAUAUUUCACCAGGAAUUUACAGGUUUUUUUGUACUGCAAAGAUUGGGCUUUGAUCAAUGUAUUCCCCCUUUUUAAUAUAUUUUUUUUUGUAACGUGAACUUGAAAUAAACAUUUCAGGAUUUUUGAGUAUAAGGUAGUA